GAUGAACGCUGGCGGCGUGCCUAAUACAUGCAAGUCGAGCGAACGGACGAGAAGCUUGCUUCUCUGAUGUUAGCGGCGGACGGGUGAGUAACACGUGGAUAACCUACCUAUAAGACUGGGAUAACUUCGGGAAACCGGAGCUAAUACCGGAUAAUAUUUUGAACCGCAUGGUUCAAUAGUGAAAGACGGUCUUGCUGUCACUUAUAGAUGGAUCCGCGCUGCAUUAGCUAGUUGGUAAGGUAACGGCUUACCAAGGCAACGAUGCAUAGCCGACGUGUGAGGGUGGUCGCCCACACUGGAACUGAGACACGGUCAAGACUCCUAAGGGAGGCAGCAGUAGGGAAUCUUACGCAAUGGGCGAAAGCCUGACGGAGCAACGCCGCGUGAGUGAUGAAGGUCUUCGGAUCGUAAAACUCUGUUAUUAGGGAAGAACAUAUGUGUAAGUAACUGUGCACAUCUUGACGGUACCUAAUCAGAAAGCCACGGCUAACUACGUG
Molecule: ribosomal RNA, 497 nt
Filed under: uncultured bacterium
Lineage: Bacteria
Description: partial 16S ribosomal RNA
Rfam family: Bacterial small subunit ribosomal RNA
Source: RNAcentral